AGAGUUUGAUCCUGGCUCAGAACGAACGCUGGCGGCAGGCUUAACACAUGCAAGUCGAACGCACCUUUCGGGGUGAGUGGCAGACGGGUGAGUAACGCGUGGGAACGUGCCCUUCAGUUCGGAAUAACCCAGGGAAACUUGGGCUAAUACCGGAUACGUGCGAGAGCAGAAAGAUUUAUCGCUGAAGGAUCGGCCCGCGUCUGAUUAGCUAGUUGGUGAGGUAAUGGCUCACCAAGGCGACGAUCAGUAGCUGGUCUGAGAGGAUGAUCAGCCACAUUGGGACUGAGACACGGCCCAAACUCCUACGGGAGGCAGCAGUGGGGAAUAUUGGACAAUGGGCGCAAGCCUGAUCCAGCCAUGCCGCGUGAGUGAUGAAGGCCUUAGGGUUGUAAAGCUCUUUCGUCCGGGACGAUAAUGACGGUACCGGAAGAAGAAGCCCCGGCUAACUUCGUGCCAGCAGCCGCGGUAAUACGAAGGGGGCUAGCGUUGUUCGGAAUCACUGGGCGUAAAGGGCGCGUAGGCGGCUUGAUAAGUCGGGGGUGAAAGCCUGUGGCUCAACCACAGAAUUGCCUUCGAUACUGUCUGGCUUGAGACCGGAAGAGGUAAGUGGAACUGCGAGUGUAGAGGUGAAAUUCGUAGAUAUUCGCAAGAACACCAGUGGCGAAGGCGGCUUACUGGUCCGGUUCUGNNGCUGAGGGCGAAAGCGUGGGGAGCAAACAGGAUUAGAUACCCNNGUAGUCC
Molecule: ribosomal RNA, 741 nt
Filed under: uncultured bacterium
Lineage: Bacteria
Description: bacterial SSU rRNA
Rfam family: Bacterial small subunit ribosomal RNA
Source: RNAcentral